RNAcentral lists this ribosomal RNA (490 nucleotides) under uncultured bacterium. Its description in RNAcentral is "partial 16S ribosomal RNA". It matches the Rfam family "Bacterial small subunit ribosomal RNA", at positions 28 to 507 of the family's 1533-position model. The record is from RNAcentral.
GAUGAACGCUAGCUACAGGCUUAACACAUGCAAGUCGCGGGGCAGCAUGGGGGUUGCUUGCAAUCCCCGAUGGCGACCGGCGCACGGGUGAGUAACGCGUAUCCAACCUGCCCUUCACCACGGGAUAACCCGGCGAAAGUCGGACUAAUACCGUAUGUUGUCCAUUGACGGCAUCCGAUUUGGACGAAAGGCUUGGCGGUGAGGGAUGGGGAUGCGUACGAUUAGCCAGACGGCGGGGUAACGGCCCACCGUGGCUACGAUCGGUAGGGGUUCUGAGAGGAAGGUCCCCCACACUGGAACUGAGACACGGUCCAGACUCCUACGGGAGGCAGCAGUGAGGAAUAUUGGUCAAUGGGCGUAAGCCUGAACCAGCCAAGUAGCGUGCAGGAUGACGGCCCUAUGGGUUGUAAACUGCUUUUAUGCGGGGAUAAAGUGGCCCACGUGUGGGCUUUUGCAGGUACCGCAUGAAUAAGGACCGGCUAAUUCCGUG